RNAcentral lists this ribosomal RNA (547 nucleotides) under uncultured bacterium. Its description in RNAcentral is "bacterial SSU rRNA". It matches the Rfam family "Bacterial small subunit ribosomal RNA", at positions 777 to 1314 of the family's 1533-position model. The record is from RNAcentral.
AAUAGACUACCCUGGUAGUCCAUGCCGUAAACGUUGGGCACUAGGUGUGGGGGGACAUUCCACGUUUUCCGCGCCGUAGCUAACGCAUUAAGUGCCCCGCCUGGGGAGUACGGCCGCAAGGCUAAAACUCAAAGGAAUUGACGGGGGCCCGCACAAGCGGCGGAGCAUGCGGAUUAAUUCGAUGCAACGCGAAGAACCUUACCAAGGCUUGACAUGGACCGGAUCGCUGCAGAAAUGUGGUUUCUCCUUUUGGGGCCGGUUCACAGGUGGUGCAUGGUUGUCGUCAGCUCGUGUCGUGAGAUGUUGGGUUAAGUCCCGCAACGAGCGCAACCCUCGUUCCCAUGUUGCCAGCACGUGAUGGUGGGGACUCAUGGGAGACUGCCGGGGUCAACUCGGAGGAAGGCGGGGACGACGUCAAAGUCAUCAUGCCCCUUAUGUCUUGGGCUUCACGCAUGCUACAAUGGCCGGUACAAAGGGUUGCGAUACUGUGAGGUGGAGCUAAUCCCGAAAAAGCCGGUCUCAGUUCGGAUUGGGGUCUGCAACUCCG